AGACCACCAACCGAAUAAAGAAGUAUGUCGAAGAGUUCCUCAACCUUGCCCAUCUGGUGCCCUGGAACGAGGGGACACUCAAGACUGUCUUCUGGACGGGUUUGGACAACUAUUAUUUUAGCAAGAAACAGAUGAGACUUGUGCAGAAGAGAUCACUUACACUGAUCCAGUGUUCUACAAAAGAAACGCAAAUAAAUUAAAAGUUGAAGAGCAUGAUCAUGUGGAUUAUGCACCUCUCACAAUAAGAUGAACAAAAAGGUGUUUUUCUAAGUACAAAAUCCAACUGUGUGACCUGUGAC
This is a long non-coding RNA of Rhinichthys klamathensis goyatoka, 299 nucleotides long. RefSeq lists it as uncharacterized. The transcript has 3 exons. Lineage: Eukaryota; Metazoa; Chordata; Actinopteri; Cypriniformes; Leuciscidae. The record is from RefSeq and is a predicted model, not a curated record.